GGGCCCGCACAAGCGGUGGAGCAUGUGGUUUAAUUCGAAGCAACGCGAAGAACCUUACCAGGUCUUGACAUCCCUCUGACCGUCCUAGAGAUAGGACUUUCCUUCGGGACAGAGGUGACAGGUGGUGCAUGGUUGUCGUCAGCUCGUGUCGUGAGAUGUUGGGUUAAGUCCCGCAACGAGCGCAACCCUUAUUGUUAGUUGCCAUCAUUUAGUUGGGCACUCUAGCAAGACUGCCGGUGACAAACCGGAGGAAGGUGGGG
This 260-nucleotide ribosomal RNA is filed under the name uncultured prokaryote. RNAcentral's name for it is "partial 16S ribosomal RNA". It matches the Rfam family "Bacterial small subunit ribosomal RNA", at positions 917 to 1178 of the family's 1533-position model. The record is from RNAcentral.